AAAAAGCUCGUAGUCGGAUGUUGGCUGAGAACGGUCGGUCCGCCGUUAGGUGUGCACUGACUGGUCUCAGCUUCCUGGUGAGGAGGUGUGCUUCAUCGCCACUUAGUCACCGUGGUUACUUUGAAAAAAUUAGAGUGUUCAGAGCGGGCUUACGCUUGAAUAUAUUAGCAUGGAAUAACACCAUAGGACUCCUGUCCUAUUUCGUUGGUCUCGGGACGGGAGUAAUGAUUAAGAGGAACAGUUGGGGGCAUUCGUAUUUCAUUGUCAGAGGUGAAAUUCUUGGAUUUAUGAAAGACGAACUUCUGCGAAAGCAUUUGCCAAGGAUGUUUUCAUUGAUCAAGAACGAAAGUUGGGGGCUCGAAGAUGAUUAGAUACCAUCCUAGUCUCAACCAUAAACGAUGCCGACUAGGGAUUGGCGGAUGUUAAUUGAUGACUUCGCCAGCACCUUAUGAGAAAUCAAAGUUUUUGGGUUCCGGGGGGAGUAUGGUCGCAAGGCUGAAACUUAAAGGAAUUGACGGAAGGGCACCACCAGGCGUGGAGCCUGCGGCUUAAUUUGACUCAACACGGGGAAACUUACCAGGUCCAGACAUAGUAAGGAUUGACAGAUUGAGAGCUCUU
RNAcentral lists this ribosomal RNA (618 nucleotides) under uncultured marine eukaryote. RNAcentral's name for it is "SSU rRNA". It matches the Rfam family "Eukaryotic small subunit ribosomal RNA", at positions 621 to 1259 of the family's 1831-position model. The record is from RNAcentral.